ACCUUCCUCUAAAUCCAACCUACAGCAAAAGCAUACACAUCUGCAGUAUUAGCCCUUAUUUUAAUGUAAUUAUGUGUUAUGAAUAAUAUUUAUUGGGGAUUCAAGAUUUAUAUUGUACCUACAGCUUACUUUUAAGUUAUACUGUAGACUCUGAGACUUUUAGCUCUGAAAAGUAACAAAAUAUGCUUUAAAAACAACCAAUUAUAAACAAUUUUUUUAUUGAAAUUGUAUAAUAAAAACUUGACAUAAUUAAAUUUAUUUUUUUUUACUUUUAAUGGUUCUGCAAAAGUGUUGAGUUCUGAGAUGAAUAAUUCAAGUUAUUGAUUAAAUUUUAUACUUAUUUAUUAACUAAAUUAACUAUUUUAUAAUAAUCAAUUUGACAAUGUUAUUACACACCAGAAUGUAUGAAUUUGAACAAUGUAAAUCGUAAUAAGUAUGUAUAAUAUGUAGCAUAUGAUUAUUUAAAAUACGAGUAUUAAAUGUCCUUUUUUAGCACUUAAAAGCUAAUCAUUGUAACUACUUAGAUAAUUAUUUAAAGACUAAAUGAAAAAAAAAUAUAGAAAUAUAUACUAAUCAUAUUUAUCUGUUGAGGUAUAAAUUUAGGUAUAUUGAGGUAUUAAAUCAAAAAUUGAAAUAAUACAAAUACCAAAAAUAUAAACAAAUUAAUUGUGAAAUCUACAUUAUAACAAGAAUUUUACUAUGACAUUGAUUAUAAGGGUUAAAAAAAAAUCAGUUUACUACCCUAACAAAUUACUAGUGUCAUUUAAGACUUAUAACAUAGAUACUUCAAUAUACUUUAUAAUAUUAUCCACAAUAUAUCAGUAAUUUCUAUACAGUUUCAAAUAUUUUGUAUUAUUAUUUUAUUAUUGCUAUUUAAAAAUGUGUUAAUCUUGAUAAUUAAAUUAUAAUAUAUUAUUAUUAUUAUUUAUUUAUUGUUAAUAUUUGAUUAACAAAAGUUAUUUAUAGAAAUUAAUUUUAAGUGUAACUAAAUGAUUUUAGUAUAUUGACCAAAAUAAUAAAUUAG
Non-coding RNA from Cinara cedri, 1024 nucleotides. The record is from the annotation of a GenBank genome assembly. Lineage: Eukaryota; Metazoa; Arthropoda; Insecta; Hemiptera; Aphididae.